UUUGUGAUCAGGCUCAGAUUGAACAUGGCGGGAUGCUUUACACAUGCAAGUCAGACGGCAGCACGGACUUCGGUCUGGUGGCGAGUGGCGAACGGGUGAGUAAUGUAUCGGAACGUGCUAGUAGCGGGGGAUAACUACGCGAAAGCGUAGCUAAUACCGCAUACGCCCUUCGGGGAAAGCGGGGGACCUUCGGGCCUCGCACUAUUAGAGCGGCCGAUAUCAGUUGCUAGUUGGUGGGGUAACGGCUCGCAAGGCGACGAUCGUAGCUGGUUUGAGAGGACGACCAACCACACUGGGACUGAGACACGGCCCAGACUCCUACAGGAGGCAGCAGUGGGGAAUUUUGGACAAUGGGGGAAACCUGAUCCAUGCAUCCCGCGUGCGAUGAAGGCCUUCGGGUUGUAAAGCACUUUUAGCGGGAAAGAAACGGCACGGGAUAUUACCCCGUGCAACUGACGGCCACCUGCAGAACCAGCACCGGCUAACUACGUGCCAGCAGCCGCGGUAAUACGUAGGGUGCAAGCGUUAAUCGGAAUUACUGGGCGUAAAGCGUGCGCAGGCGGUUCGGAAGAAGAUGUGAAAUCCCGGAAGCAACUUUGGAACUGCAUUUUUAACUACCGAGAGCCUAGAGUGUGUCAGAGGUGGAAUUCCGCGUGUAGCAGUGAAAUGCGUAGAUAUGCGGAGGAACACCGAUAGCGAAAACAGCCUCCUGGGAUAACACUGACGCUCAUGCACGAAAGCGUGGGGAGCAAACAGGAUUAGAUACCCUGGUAGUCCACGCCUAAACGAUGUCAACUAGCUGUUGGGGCCUUCGGGCCUUGGUAGCGCAAUAACGCGUGAGAUUGACCGCCUGGGAAAUACGGUCACAGAUUAAAACUCAAAGAAAUUGACGGGGACCCGCACAAGCGGUGGAUGAUGUGGAUUAAUUCGAUGCAACGCAGAAAACCUUACCUACCCUUGACAUGUCUGGAAUCCGAAGAGAUUUGGGAGUGCUCGCAAGAGAACCGGAACACAGGUGCUGCAUGGCUGUCGUCAG
This 1036-nucleotide unclassified non-coding RNA is filed under the name uncultured Bordetella sp. Its description in RNAcentral is "partial 16S-23S ribosomal RNA intergenic spacer". It matches the Rfam family "Bacterial small subunit ribosomal RNA", at positions 12 to 1058 of the family's 1533-position model. Lineage: Bacteria; Pseudomonadati; Pseudomonadota; Betaproteobacteria; Burkholderiales; Alcaligenaceae. The record is from RNAcentral.